UCCCACGAUUUCCGAAUGGGGAAACCCACCUAAUCCGAUUAUUUCGCCCGUCAGAGAUGACGGACGGAGUAAUUGGAAAAAGGUAUCACUUAGCUGAAUAAAAUAGGCUUCGUGAAGCGAACCCGGCGAACUGAAACAUCUCAGUAACCGGAGGAAAAGACAUCAACCGAGAUUCCGUUAGUAGUGGCGAGCGAACGCGGACCAGGCCAGUGCUUCUAAUUCAACUAGCAGAACAGUCUGGAAAGGCUGACCAUAGCGGGUGACAGUCCCGUAUGCGAAAGUGAUGUUAGAAGACUCGAGUAGGGCGGGACACGUGUAAUCCUGUCUGAACAUGGGGGGACCACCCUCCAAGCCUAAAUACUCGUAUGCGACCGAUAGCGAACUAGUACCGUGAGGGAAAGGUGAAAAGCACCCCGAUGAGGGGAGUGAAACAGUACCUGAAACCGAUUGCCUACAAGCAGUGGGAGCCUCUUUAUGGGGUGACCGCGUACCUCUUGCAUAAUGGGUCUGUGACUUAAUGUAUCAAGCAAGCUUAAGCCGAUAGGUGUAGGCGCAGCGAAAGCGAGUCUGAAUAGGGCGAUUUAGUUUGAUGUAUUAGACCCGAAACCCGGCGAUCUAGGCAUGACCAGGAUGAAGGUGGGGUAACACCCACUGGAGGUCCGAACCGAUUAACGUUGAAAAGUUACCGGAUGAGUUGUGUUUAGGGGUGAAAGGCCAAUCAAGCCGGGAAAUAGCUGGUUCUCCGCGAAAACUAUUGAGGUAGUGCCUCGGAUGAACACCCUAGGGGGUAGAGCACUGGAUGGAUGCGGGGGUCGCGAGAUCUAC
This 825-nucleotide ribosomal RNA is filed under the name Salmonella enterica. Its description in RNAcentral is "partial 23S ribosomal RNA". It matches the Rfam family "Bacterial large subunit ribosomal RNA", at positions 103 to 939 of the family's 2925-position model. The record is from RNAcentral. Lineage: Bacteria; Pseudomonadati; Pseudomonadota; Gammaproteobacteria; Enterobacterales; Enterobacteriaceae.